RNAcentral lists this unclassified non-coding RNA (146 nucleotides) under uncultured Dermateaceae. RNAcentral's name for it is "sequence contains ITS2". Lineage: Eukaryota; Fungi; Ascomycota; Leotiomycetes; Helotiales; Dermateaceae. The record is from RNAcentral.
CAACCCUCAAGCUCUGCUUGGUAUUGGGCGUCACCGGCAACGGUGUGCCUUAAAAUCAGUGGCGGCGCCAUCUGGCUCUAAGCGUAGUAAAUCUCUCGCUAUGGAUGUCUUGUGGAUGCUUGCCAACAACCCUAAUUUUUUUAUGG